Molecule: long non-coding RNA, 20703 nt
Filed under: Musa acuminata (dwarf banana)
Lineage: Eukaryota; Viridiplantae; Streptophyta; Magnoliopsida; Zingiberales; Musaceae
Description: long non-coding RNA (MACU_LNC005013)
Source: RNAcentral
CCCAGCAAUAGACUGUCAUCACACACAGCAAUUCUUAGUUUUCCCUACCUAUCUUUUUCAAUAUUUUAUAAUUAGACUUGUAUAUAGAACGAAGACUCGGCAAAAAGGUGGUGGUUUGGUCAGUGUCAGCUCGGUAGGCAUGGUGGGUGCGACGUACGACGGCCUGUUAUCCUUCUACCAUCAAGAGCGGGAGGUUGUCGAUGCUCUGUGAAGCCAGCCUGACGCGGUGCCCUCCGCUUUAGGAUCCUAUGAGACUUAGGCCUUCGCCAAGAUCACAUAGAACAUCUGCCUGACUUAGAAUGGGCGAGCCGAGUAAUGUGCGGCCGCACCCAACCUACUCGAGCACAACAUGCCAUUCCACAACCGAUCGCCCCCGCUCGGGUUACAAGCCAACGCUAACGGGCUCGGCGAUCGAGGCGCUUUCACAGCAUCAUAUCAGGCCAAACAAUUUGUCAAAACAAGUGAUGUGGGACCAAGAAUGUUGUAACUGUUAGUGUAAACAACUUUAUGUCGUGUCCUCGAGCCGACGCGGUUUGGUUGGGGGUCCGAAUGACGAGGAUCUUGCGCGGCGUCCCUCGAGAUCUCCCAGUGGCCGAUUACGGUGGUCCGGUCGGGACGUCGCGUCGGGAGGAAAGCUUUGCCGUAGCGCCGGGAAGAGGCGACCCCGUUCUUGCACCUGCACACAGGUCGGGUCGGAAGCUCGGCCCGACCCCUCCGACGAUCAAGUUAGUGGAUAUGGAGGGGGUUUUAGGUGAAUAAGUGCUCUCUUUUUCUCCUCCCUUUUCGUUUAGAACUCGGUGGUAUUUAUAGGUGAGUUUAGUGUUACCUGAUGUGUCUGCCCGCAGGAGCAGAAUCGUACCUCUAAUGGCGUCUGACAUUGCCGUUGGCAUUGCGUGGAGAACCGAACUGCCGCAGGGCAUGGGUGAGCCUCGAUCGCCGUUCUCCUCUGCCUUGGCCAAGCAUGUUGGGUCAGACAACGAUGAAGUCGUUGUCUGGGAGCGGGUGACGUCAGCGCACAUCGCGUCAGCAUUACUGCCCUAUUUGGGGUAGAGUGUCGUCCAGACAUGGCUGACGUCGUGACGCGUCAUGUCGCCAUUAUUAUCCUCAUCAGUAACCACUGAUGCUUCUCCUUAGCGCGCACCAAAUGCUUUGGAUGCUGCUGUAACUAACUGUGCGCCUAGUACGUUUUGGAAGACACGCGAAUUGAACUCCACUGGAUUGUACUCCGCCCUGAAUGAUACAAACCCAAAUGCUAGAGAUUUUAAUCUCUGAAAUUAUUAGCAUCGAGUUGAAAUUUUGUCAUAUAUAUACAAGUUGAAAUUUCUAUCAGAAUUGAGUAUCGAUCGAAGGCCUCUCAUAUAUGUUGCUUUUUUAAUUUUAUUUUUUCCUUUUACAAUUCUUUCUUAUAUAGUUCAUGCUAGUUGAAUAUUAAGAAAACAACAGAAACAAUAAUAAUAAUUAUUAUUAACUAUCUAUGUAUAUUAGAUAGUUGAAAAGAUACACUAAAAUCUCAUAUUCAAGAGAUAUGAACUUGAAUAACCAAACGGUAUAUGAGAAUACAUAAUAUUAAGAAGAUUACCUUAAGAGAUCUAUACAAAAUCUAAAAAACAAACAUAAAUAGUGCAAAUCAAUGAGUGCAUAAAGACGAUGUUUACAACUCUCAAAUUUAUUAUCAAUGAAGUAAAAUUGUAUUAUAAGCAUCAUAAAAAAAAAUCAUAGAGGGCAUGUGUCCCUAGUUUAUUUAAGGGUGAGGGAUAGGAUGAUAGCUUAAACUUGUAUAAAGAAAAAAAACUAAAAACAUCUUAUGAUAUAAUAAAAACUAAAAUCACCAUAGGUUUAGAUGAUUAUACCAUUAAAACAUAUAUGAAUAUUUGGGAUCAUUCCACUUACCAAAAAAGGUGGUGGUUUGAUAGGCGUUAACCCUGUGGGUACGGUGAGUGCGGCGUACACCGGCCUGUUAUCCCUCCACCGUCAAGAGCGGGAGGUGGUCGCUGCUCUGUGAAGCCAGCCUGACGCGGUGUCCUCCGCUUUAGGAUCCUAAGAAGCUCGAGCCUUCGCCCGGGCCGCACGGCUCAGCUGCCUGACUUGGAACGGACAAGCCGAGUAUAGUACGGUCGCACCCAACCCAGUCGAGUUAAACACACCAUCCCACCGCCUCAAGGCUCCCGCUCGGGUUACAAGCCCACGCUACCGGGCUCGGCGAUCGAGGCGCUUUCGCAGCAGAAUAUAACGUCUUUGAUUCUUUUAGAAUUGGCGAUGUGGGACUAAGAAUUGUGCCAACCCGCCACCGAUUCAUCCACCAGCAAAAUGCUUUGGAGGAUAACACAAACUGCAAGUGCCCCAAGAGAAUUGGAUUGCGCACGAACAGCUUCUUUCUACUCCAACGCCCCGAAUGAUGCAUUCAUGGCCAAACUGUGUUGUUCAUGGAUGCAGAUCGAAAAGCGCUAAGUAAUCCCCAAAGGUAAGAAUACGUUUGAUUGUCUUACGAUACAACCUUACCCUAUUAGAAAUUUAAUCUCAUAAUCUAAUAAUACUAAAAGAACAAAAAAGAGAAUCCAAUUACAGAGAAAAGGAAUGAUAAAAAAGUGGGGUCUGAUCGAUGUUAGCUUGCCGAGCAUGGUAAGGUGUGGCUUCGACCAGUCUGCCAUCCCUUCCACUGUCGAGAGCGGGAGGUACUCGUUUCUUUGUUAGGAUGCGUAUGACUCGAGUCUUCGCCUGGAGUCACAUUGCUCAAUUUCUUGACUCAAAAUGGGCAAGUCGGGGUUGGGUGGGUCAAACCUAACCCAAUCAAGCACAACACAUCAUUCCACCUCCUUCAUGCCCUCACUCAUGUGACAAGCCUGUGCUACGAGGCUCGACAAUUACAAGUAUUUCACAGAGUAAUAUAAAGGCAUAAAAAUAGGUAAAAACUAGCAAUGUGGGACGAAGAAUAGUGCGACCACUUUCCCCUCCUCCCUUUGCAGAGAGAUUCACGAACCAAAUGCUUUCGAGAGGGAACAUAGGCUUGGAUGGUGUAUUUGUCCACCUGUUUUUAUUUUGGAGAAAGAAUUCAACUGCAUUGUAAACGUAAAACUCCUUCCUACUCCCCUCCUCAAUGAUAUAUAAAUAUUUAGAAAAAAACUUUAGUUUUCAAAAAUUCUCCAUCUCAACUUUUAAAAAUAUAAACAAAGUACCUAUUUCGUGCAUUAAAACAUCGUUUUAUCUCUACUUUUGUCGGAUCCAUUAUUACCUCAACCCUAUAUCAAUGCUCUAACUCUUUUCCCCUUUGCUAAGAACAACAAUAGAGUAGGGGGUCACGAAUCCUUGGUACUUUGUGUCUUCACACACGAGUUGACUUACGCACUUAGCCAUGCUUUUAUCUUGAACAGUCAUCCAUUACCCACAGCAUUGUUGAUCGCCUUCAUGAGUGGGCCCAGCCAAACUCUUUCCCCGCCUAUGAUCGAUGACGAGGGGUGCUUAUGGGCGAUUGCGAGGGUACACAGUAUGCCUCCCCUCCUUCCUCACCCACGAACAAUGAUGAGUGAAGGCAUAGGGGUCGUGGCCCUUGGUUCUUCAUUUGCAAUCGAUAACGAUAGAGUUCAAAUAUAUAUUGUAUAGCUUAAUAUUUUCAAAGUUACGAUCGCCUAAUAUUUUUUAAGAAUAUACAUAUUUAGAAUUUUUUUAAAUCUAAGAUCUAUAUAAUAUUUAUUUAUUUUUAAUUAGUUUAGUCCUUCUAUUCAAAGAUACGAACUUGAAUAAUCGAUGAUAAAAUAAGACAUAAUAUCAUGAAAAAUAAAAAAAUAUUUUUUUAGAAAAAUUAGAAAACCAUAUUAAUUAGUAAAAGCUGAAAAAAAAUAUUAGCAUCACCAUGGGCUAAGGAGUUACAAAUCCUAUGAAAAAUCAAUUUAAACUAAGCUAUGUUGAAAUUGCAUAGUUGAUCCUUUCUAAUCCCACGUCAUUGGGUUUUAGAGGAUAAUGUGAUGGGACAUACCAUGGUACUUCAGCAAAGCGGAGCUUUCUUUCUAUCAUUUAAUAGUCCUAUGCGUUGUAUCUUACUAUUAUUUUUAAUGCGAAAAAGUGGUGGUUUGGUCAGUGUAAGCCCGAUGGGUAUGGUGGGGGCGGCGUGCAUCGGCCUGUUAUGCUUCCACCGUCAAGAGAGGGAGGUUAUCGCUGCUCUGUGAAGCCAGCCUGACGCGGUGUCCUCCGCUUUAGAAUCGCAUGUGACUCAGGCCUACGCCAGGACCGCACUGCGAAGCUGCCUGACUUGGAACGGGCAAGCCAAGUCUGGAAAUCACCGGACCCAACCCAAUAGAGCUGAACACAACAUCCCACCACAUCCUUGCCCCCACUCGGGUUACAAGCCUGCGUUACUGGGCUCGGCGAUCGAGGGCCUUCCGCAGCCUCAUAUAACUUUUUGCGAGACUCUAAAUAUUGGCGAUGUGGGACUAAGAGCACUUCCUCCGCUCCCUCCUUUCCCUUUCCGAAAAUUCAUGCACCGCGUGCUUUCUGAGAGAACCCGAAUUGCACCCAAACUUUCGAUCAUGGUUCUUACCACCUUUUCAUCACCUAAAACUAUUUCAUCGGCAAAGAGGCCAUUUGAAUAAGGUCACUAUUCAAAAGCUUAAGAAUAAGGUUACUAUUUAAAUGCUCGAGUUUUUAGAAAAUAAUAAAGUAGAAGAUAUCAAUAGAAUUGUGUUAAUCAUCACCUCUUUACUCUAACGUUUAUCAUCUUUAUAAAAAUUAUCAAAAGAUAAAAGGUGCUUCAUCUCCUUCUCUUUGAAGUUUAUUUUUAGGUUGCCCUUCGUCCUUGUACAUUUUUCAAUGAUAAAUCAUAUAUAAGAUUUAUGACCCAAUGAGCUAUCUCCUUUCAAGAUGAGUCUAUCAAUAUUAAUAUCAAUUUGUCUCUCUGUGACUCCUGAGGUCGAGGUAAGUGUUCUUGGUGCUUAAGGAUGAAUCGCGCAAGAUAAAUCUGAUGUAUGAAUUCUUCAAUAUCCUUUUUCAAGUCUCGAUAUUCAUUUGUGUCAUGGACGUAAUUCAGAUAGAACCGAUAAUAUUUAGAUCCGUCUUUUUUUGCCAAUGAAGUAUUCAUCGAGUGAGAGUCUUUUAAGAGUCUCUUUCCUUUUAUCGGUAGAAAAAAACUUUAAUUCUAAGCAUAUUCAAGGGGGUUAGCUCAGACCUUGGGCGAGGUAACUCAAGUCGUUCGUUCUUCCUCUAUUGUGAUGACCUCGGGGUCGGGGUGGACUAUAGUUGCUCUUACUUCGACCUCUUGUGCGGCUGACUCUUUACGCUUACCAGAUAUUAUUAUCCUGAUGGUAAUAUAUUGAUUGACUCUUUGAAGUGCCUGUAGUAUUGUCGCCGAUGACCUCUCCACUAACGACGAGAAGAGAUGAGAGGACUUGAGACUCAUCAUGAAGGUUUGUAUCAAGAGUGACGAACGGAUAUACCACGCUUUGGAUUUUAUUAAUGAAACUAAGUGAUGAAGUUUGUAAGAAUUUCCUUCAAUUGCAUGAAUACGAGAAGCAUUGACAUUGCUAGCCUCGGGUGCACAUUCCCGAUGAAGUGAAAUUCAAACUUCCUCGUGAACUAGGUAAUGAAACUGAUGGAGAGUGGCUUCAGAUAUAAGUAUCAUUCUCGUGUUAGGUCUCUUAAUAUAGUCGAGAAUGUGUGACACAUCAAGGCAUCCGAAGUGUCAUACAAUAAUAUUUAGGCAUGGAAAGUUAUAAUGUGCUCCAUUGGGUUAGCAUUGCCAUCGAAUGCCUCCAACGACGGUGGUGGAAGAUUGUUAGAAUCGAUUCUUCCUAAAUUUUCUAGAUAAAUGAUGACCGACUCGAGGUGGAGUUAACCAAUGCUUCCCUUUUGGAUUAUUAAAAUUUUUAUCAUAUCUCCUUCAAACGAUGAUCCAUCUAUCAUAGUUGGAUUUGCAAGGAAUCCUUCAUCAAAUUCGUCGAUCUAGUCUCUGAUUUAAGCAUGAUAGAAUCGUGAUAUGGAAUGCUAAAUUUCAUGAUUAUGGAGCGAAGUGCUCUCUCGGCCAUGAUUCGAUAGGUUUUGGGUACUUUUAGGAUGUAACACUAUGUUGGAUGGGGGAAAGUUGAUGGGUGCUAGUGGUGGGUGAGCCAGUGACAACAACUGAGUUAGUGGCGUUGUCUAUUAAGCUAACUAGGGUAAAUGUUAGAGAUUUUAAUAUAUAAAAGAAGUUUUAUAUUUUAAUAUAUAGAAUAUGCAUACUUGCAAGGCAUCUUAUGUUUGUCAAUUGUUGUCACCCCUUUUUUCUUAUUUAAGAUCCCUUCUGAUUUUUUUAAUCAUAAUUAUAUUUUUACUGUUUUUUAAUAUUUAAUUCCUUCCAUCGAAAGAAAUGAACUUGAAUAACGAGAUGAUAUAAUAAAAGACACAAUAUCAACAAAAAUUUCUCAAGACCUACAUAAAGAAAAAACAAUUCUUUGUAAAAAGAGAAAAAGCUAUAUUAAUUAGCAAAAACUAAAAAAAAACGAAGAGCCGUUAGUAGCCUCCGAGGAAGAACAAAAAGUGGGUCAGCCUAUAAAAGUUGGCGUUGCCAUGGGGCUAAGGAGUUACAAAACCUAUCAACAACCAAUCCAAACAAACCAUGCAAAUCAACAACUAUACAAAGAUGAAUGAUGAUCUUAUUAAAUAUUAAACUUAAUAUUUAUGAAGCAAAAUGAAUGUGCUUGUCACAAUAAAAUCAUAAGAGUUCACGAGUGCUUAAGUUUUUUUUACGGCUAGAAUAAUGGAAUAGAUAAAACUUUGGUCGAGCUUACGAACAUAAAAAACGAAAAAAAAAUUAAAAUUUUGGUUAUGUAAAAGCUCAAUAAGAGUUCAAAAUUGGUUAAACUAAUCAGUGUUGCCCAUUUGUGACUGACAUCCACACGAGAUAGCCGAUUAGUUAUUUUUUAUUACUGGAAUAACGUGCAUCUCGACACUGCACAUUGACAAAGCCGAGCGCAUACCUUCCAUUGUCAAAAUCAACUAUGCUAAUGAUCAUGUUAGUGCGAUGGGUUCACUCUGUCAUUUGCCUACGCAUACAAUAUAUACUUUAGAAAACACAGAUAUAUUGAAAUUGCAUAGUUCGUCGUGAUCCUUUCUAAUCCCACACCAUGGGCCUUUAGCGGAUGAUGAGAUGGGACAUACUUCGGUAUCUCAGUAAAGUCAGAGCUCAUUCCUUAAAGGUUUUAUUAUAUUAAUUAUUGAGAGAUUAUAGAUUUUCUUUUAUUUUUUUUUGUUUUUAAUACAUCGCUCGUAGUAGUCUUAUGAAAGAUAAAAAGAGAAGAGAAUACGACUACAGUAGUAGCGACAACUAUAGCUUCAUCGCUACCACUAUGGUGAUUGUUGUAGCUUGUUGUGAUUGUAGCAUUAUCGUUGCUUAGGGCAACUACAACAAUGUCGUUGCGGCAUUUGUUGGCCAUGGCUGUUGAUAAGUCGCAUGCGAAGAGCUAUGCAACCACGAGCGAUGCAGGCGACGAAUGACCAGUGCACCAUCAACAAGACCUGCAAGUGUGGGCGUAGUGGGAUGCGACGACGACAACAACAUGAGAAUUUGAUUUUUUUUAAAGCACAUUUUUGUACCUCGAAUGCAUCUUGAUAUAAGAAAAUCAUAUCUCCUAAGGGCUCUUCACUGAUUUAAUCACCCGAGGAGAAGCACAAGUAAAAUUCUCCUACAUCAUUAGAAUCCAUGAAGUGAUAUAUAACACGAAUUACGAUCAGACCUAAACAAAAGAGGAAUCUCUCGAGCGACAUAACAAAAAUGAAUCCCAUAUUUGCUCUUUACAAUCAAUCUUUUGGCAUUCACUAAAAGUUAGACUAAUUUAGUUGAUAAAAAUCUUCGUUGUAUUUUUUAAAUAUUAUUAUAAAAAUGAAUCCCAUAUUUGCUCUUUACAAUCAAUCUUUUGGCAUUCACUAAAAGUUAGACUAAUUUAGUUGAUAAAAAUUUUCGUUGUAUUUUCUAAAUAUUAUUAUCAGUGUUGUCCCUCUUGAGAUAAAAAAAAGAAAUCGGUGUGCAAAAAGUGGUGGUCUGGUCAGUGUUAGCCCGAUAGGUACGGCGGGUGUGGCGUGCACCGGCCUGUUAUCCUUCCACCGUCAAGAGCGGGAGGUUAUCGCUGCUCUGUGAAACCAGCCUGACGCGGUGUCCUCCGCUUUAGGAUCCCAGAUAGCUCGGGCCUUCGUUCGAGCCACAUAGCUCAGCUGCCUGACUUGGAACGGGCAAGCCAAGUCUAGCACGACCGCACCCAACCUAUUCGGGCUGAACACAACAUUCCACCACCUUAUUGCCCCCACUAGGGUUACAAGCCGGCGUUACCGGGCUCGGCGAUCGAGGCGCUUCCACAACUUCAUAUAGCCUGUCAGUGAAUCCUAAAAAUUGGCGAUGUGGGACUAAAAACGCUCCCUCCUUUUUCCUUUCCGAACAUUCGUGCACCGCAUGCUUUCCAGGAGAAACCCGAAUUGCAUCUAAAGUUUCGAUCAUGGUUCCCCACCACCUAAAACCAUUCCAUCCCCUUCGAACAGACCAACAGAAGAUGCCCUGCAGACCCCUCCAGAUUACCCGACUCCUAAUCUUGAAACCUCGAAACCCAAUGCUCUCCUGCAUCGGGGAUUCAACAUGUUUCGAGCUAAAUUUCUCCUACAUCAGCUGACCGCAAUGCUGUAACUUUGGUGAUGAUGAAGAGGUGUAAGCUGAUAAAUGCUAUAACAAUGCCCGAAUACGUUGUCGGCCUCGUUGCAGAAGAGGAUCGACUUUUAGAUUGUGAAUCUGUGUCUUUGAACAUAGAUGCGCUAGCAUGUAUAUAAACCAUUACUUCUUAAUUCGAUGACAUUAAUAAAUAUAAUUGAUACGUCAUAUUUUGGCCUCGAAGACAUAUCAGGUCAGAAUCCAUACUAAGGCACUGCUUGACACGUCACAUCUUGGGAACCACAAGACACGCCAAGUCAGAAUCCAUACUAAGGCACUGCUCGGCAUGUCACGCCUCAGGAACCCCGAGACGGCGCCGCCCCCAAGACACGCCAAGUCAGAAUCUGUACUAAGGCACUGCUCGGCACGUCUACCAUGCCAAACCUCGUACGACUGACCCACGUACAAUAAUAUAAAGACCUCUGGCCGGCAUCUGGCUAGGAGGGGAAAAAAGGUGGUAAAAUCAAUUGAUCACUCUACUGACUUGUUCGUCAGAGGGUUCUCGUCGGGAAUCACCCAACGAGGGCCAUUUUUGAAGGAAAAUGCAGCCACCUCACGAAGACGAGCUACCAACCACCCGAGAAUCCCCAUCCAGUGCACGAAGGAGAGCAGCCAAUCGGUCCAUAUCCUAAACAAUGCCAACCAGUACUCCUUCUCGAGGGCUUGACCACCUCACGAAGAUGAGCUGCCAACCACCUCAGAAAAAGAGAGACGUAGCUCGACAUACACGACGCUCGGAUCGGCACACCAAGGAACACUGAUCAACACCCCAUUGCAAGGGCCCGAUAGACCUCGAUAUCCAACUCAACCGAUAGAAGACUCCCGACAUCGACCCGUAGACCAGGCUGUGCUAACUCACAAGCCACAGCACAUUUGUUUACUAACAUUUUGACGCUAGAAGGAGGGCAUGUCGCAAGAGCAACAGAUAGGGGUCCUCCCCGAGGGAGAACCACCGACCGACCUCCCUUUUGUUAAACCAAAAAGUCAGGCCUUCCCCACCCCCGGAGACAGGAGGAUCCCGGCUUCGAUGCUAGAUCGCUACUGUCGUCUGUUCAACGACCCGGGAUUGUCACCCCCGAGGCUCACCAUAGGGCCCUCGGUCGUGACACCCGAGGCAUUCCUUAGCCUAACCAAGCAAGUACAGGCCAUGGCGGGCAUGAUGUAGACGCUCGCUCCAAUCAUUCCUCAGAUCGUGCGGCUAGCGACGCCCCCGACCGACCCGUCCCAACAGCGACCGAACAGGGAGCAGGUCGGGACUGGAGAAGCCCAAGAGCAAGCAACGGACUCGAGAGGUCCGCCCGAGUAGAGCAUACUCGCACCCUGCCGAAUCACACCGCUCCACUCCGAGCCCGACACCAUAUCGUCCGACUCGGUGGAUGACUCGUUCAGGAUCCAGUUGUCUCGGAUCAACCAACGCUUGGAUGAGUUCCAGCGCGAGUUCCAGAAAUCGCGAUGCAAGUCGAAUGAAGGCGGCUCGGGCGAAUCGCCUUUCACUCAGGAAAUACAUGACAAGCCUGUACCACUCGACUUUAGGUUGCCCACAUUAGAGAUGUACGACGGCGGCUCUGACCCCGCAGAGCAUGUCGUCAUGUUUCGGGCUCAGCUAUGGCACCUCCAAUGCAUUGAUGUGUCGGGAAUUCCCGACCACCUUCAGGGGCCAGCACGAGCGUGAUUCAACCGGCUGCGCCAGUCCUCAGUCUCAUCCUUCGACCAGCUCACAAGGGAGUUCGAGCAAAACUUCCUCACCAACGUGCAACCCAAGCCUUCUAUCGCUACACUGCUGGCGUUAUCUCAACACGAGGAUGAGUCGCUCUCUCAGUUCGUGGCACAUUUAGCCACCGAGAUCUAUGAAUUUUCGGACGCUCAUCUCUCUCUAAUAAUGCAGGUGUUUCUGAUGGGCUUGAAACCUUCAAGGUUCUUUUGGUCACUAAUCGAGAAGCCUCCAGUAACCAUCCCCGAGAUGCUCCAAUGCGUCAACCAGUACAUCGCCGCCAAAGCUCUGGUGGUGGGAAAGUGCAUGGACAGCAAGAGGCCAAGGGCGAAACAAUCCCGGGGAACGACUUCCGUAGCCCCAGUGCAACCCCGCUAGAGGCUUGACUGACAAGAGCUACUGCUCCUGAGGCCCCCGCCUCUCCCUCUGAGCAUGUUCCACCAGGACUAUGACCACGGCACGGAAGAUUGCUGUGACCUCCAGAAUCAAAUCGAGGACUUGAUCCGAAAAGGUUAUCUCAAGUGCUAUGUCAAGGAAACCCGAGAAGCAACUCCAUGUCCUAGGGGACCCUUCGAAAGACGCCUCAUCAUCCAAAAUAUCAUGUCGAAAAGCCACUCGCGACAAGAGGUCCACAAGCUCGCCAGAUCGGUUCCCGACCUGCGACUCGCCGACCCAUCUCUUGCCUGAGCCGCUCUAGAUCGGUUCCCGACCUGUGCCUUGCCGGCCCAGCUUUUGCCCAAGUUGCUCCAGAUCAGUUCUCGACCUGCAGCUCGCCAGCCCAGCUCUUGCCCGAGUUGCUCUAUAUCGAUUCCCGACCCGCGGCUCGCCGGCCGAGCAUUUGUCCGAGCCGCUCCAGAUUGGUUCCCGACCUAUGGCUCACCGGCCCAGCUCUCAUUCGAGUCGCCCCAAAUCGGUUCCCGACCUGCAGCUCGCCGGCCCAGCUCUUGCCCGAGCCGCUCCAGAUCGGUUCCCGUCCUGCGGCCCGUUGGCCCAGCUCUUACCCAAGUCGCUCAAGAUUAGUUCUCGACCUCAGGCUCGCCGGCCUAGCUCUUGCCUGAGCCGCUCUAGAUCGAUUCUCGACCUGCGGCUCGCCGGCCUAGCUCUUGCCCAAGCGGCUCCAGAUCGGUUCUCGACCUGUGCCUCGCGGGCUCAGCUUUUGCCCGAGUCACUCCAGAUCGGUUCCCGACCUACGGCUCGUCGGCCCAACUCUCACCCGAGUAGCUCCAGAUCGGUUCUCGACUUGUGGCUCGCCAGCCCAACUCUUGCCCGAGCCACUCCAGAUCGGUUUCCGACCUGCGGCUCGUCGGCCCAACUCUUGCCCGAGUUGCUCUAGAUCGAUUCCCGACUUGCGGCUCUCUAGCCCAGCUCUUGCCCGAGCCAUCCAGAUCGAUUCCUGACCUGCGGGUAGCCAGCCCAGCUCUUGCCCAAGCGCUCUAGAUAAGUUCCUGACCUGUGCCUCGCUGGCCCAGUUCCUGCCCGGGUUGUUCCAGUUUGCUCCUGACUUUCGAUUCGGAGUCGAGCUUACUCACUUGGUCCCCAGAUUCAAUUCGGAGCCGAGCUUACUCACUCGGUCCCCAUAUCCGAUUCGGAGCCAAGCUUACUCACUCGGUCCCUAGGUUCAAUUCGGAGCCGAGUUUACUCACUCGGUCCCUAUGUUCAAUUCGGGGAGCCGAGCUUACUCACUUGGUCCCCAGAUUCAAUUCGGAGCCGAGCUUACUCACUCGGUCCCCAUAUUCGAUUCAAAUUCGAGCUUACUCACUUAGUCCCUAGGUUCAAUUUGGAGCCGAGCUUAGUCACUCGGUCCCUAGAUCCGAUUUAGAGCCGAGCUUACUCACUCGGUCUCCAGAUUCGAUUCGGAGUCGAGCUUACUCACUCGGUCCCCAGAUCCGAUUCAGAGCCGAGCUUACUCACUCAGUCCCCAGGUUCAAUUCGGAGCAGAGCUUAGUCACUCGGUCCCCAAGUUCAAUUCAGAGCUGAGCUUAUUCACUUGAUCCCCAGGUUCAAAUCGGAGAUAAGCUUAUUCACUCGGUCCCUAGGUUUGAUUCGGAGUCGAGCUUACUCACUCGGUCCCCAGGCUUAAUUCGGAGCCGGGCUUACUCACUCGGUCACCAGGUUCAGUUUGGAGCCGAGCUUAGUCACUCAAUCCCCAGGUUCAAUUCAGAGUCGAACUUAUUCACUCGAUCCCCAGGUUCAAAUCAGAGAUGAGCUUAGUCACUCAGUCCUCAGGUUCAUUUCUUGCUCGGGUCGCUCCAGAUCGCUCCCGACUUGCUACCCAUCGACACCGAAACCCGAGCCCGAGCUCGGUCACUCGACCCAUAGGCCCAAUCCAGUGUCCGAGCCACGCAUCUCAGCCAAUCCAACGCCCGAGUCGCAUCUCGGCCAAAUCCAAUGCCCGAGUCGCAUCUCGGCCAAAUCCAGCAUCCGAGCCACGCACCUCGGCCAUCCAACACCCGAGCCACGCAACUCGGCCAAUCUAACGCCCGAGUCGCAUCUUGGCCAAAUCCAAUGCCCGAGUCACAUCUCGGCCAAAUCCAACGUCCAAGCCACACACCUCGGCCAUCCAAAGCUCGAGCCACGCAUCUCGGCCAAUCCAAUGCCCAAGUCGUAUCUCGGCCAAUCCAAUACCCAAGUCGCAUCUCGACCAAAUCCAACGUCCAAGCCAUGCACAUUGCCCAUCCAAUGCCCGAGCCACGCAUCUCGACCGAUCCAACACCCGAGUAGCAUCUUGGCCGGUCCAAACGCCCGAACCACACAUCUUGGCCGAUCCAAUGCCCGAGCCAUACCUUGCGGCCAAUCUUAUGCCCGAGUCACAUCUCGAUCGAUCCAACGCCCGAAUCACCGGCCUAGUCUGUUAAUCCAAGUCGCUCCACGUCAACCCCUGACUAGCUACCCGUCAAGUCUCUAAACCGAGCCACCCCGGCUCGCUCGCCAACUUGCAAACUCGGCAGUUGUAACACCAAGUCGUGCCAAACCCGUUAUCUAACCUACGACACGUCGGUGUCGCCUCGUCGGUUUCGCCACGUCGGUUUCGACACGUUGGUUUUGCCUCGUCAGGCCCCUGCCUCCUGAUCAGUAGAGUCGAUCUUGCACGAAGCAUGGGGCGCUACCCUUCUAAAUCGCCCCAUGACGAGUUAAUCCAACUUCCCCUCAUGAACGAUCAGCCUCACUUCGAAGUAUCAUAUAAUAAUAUUUGGGCAUGGAAAGUUAUAAUGUCCUCCAUUGGGUUAGCAUUGCCAUCGAAUGCCUCCAACGACGAUGGUGGAAGAUUGUUAGAAUCGAUUCUUCCUGAAUUUUCUAGGUGAAUGAUGAUCGACUCGAGGUGGAGUCAACCAACGCUUCCUUUUUGGAUUAUUAAAUUUUUUAUCAUAUCUCCUCUAAAUGUCGGUCCAUCUAUGAUAGUUGGAUUCGCAAGGAAUCCUUCAUCAAUUUCGUCAACCUAGCCUCUGAUUUAAGCAUGAUAGAGUCAUGAUGUGGUAUGUUAAAUUUAUGGUGAUGGAGCGAAGUACUCUCUUGACCAUGAUUGGAUAGGUUUCGGGUACUCUUAGGAUGUCAACAUUAUGUUGGGUGGGGGAACAUUGAUUGGUGGGUGAGCUAUUGGGCUAACUAGCGUAAAUGUUAGAGAUUUUAAUAUAUAGAAUAUGCAUACUUGCAAGGCAUCUCAUGUAUGUCAAUUGUUGCAACCCCUUUUUUUUCUUAUUUAAGAUCCCUUCUGUUUUUUGAAUCAUAAUUAUAUUUUAACUGUUUUUUAAUAUUUAAUUCCUUCCAUCGAAAGAAAUGAACUUGAAUAACGAGAUGAUAUAAUAAAAGACACAAUAUCAACAAAAAUUUCUCAAGACCUACGUAAAGAAAAAAAAAUUCUUUGUAAAAAGAGAAAAAGCUAUAUUAAUUAGCAAAAACUAAAAAAAACGAAGAGCCGUUAGUAGCCUCCGAGGAAGAACAAAAAGUGGGUCAGCCUAUNNNNNNNNNNNNNNNNNNNNUCAACUAUGCUAAUGAUCAUGUUAGUGCGAUGGGUUCACUCUGUCAUUUGCCUACGCAUACAAUAUAUACUUUAGAAAACACAUAUAUAUUGAAAUUGUAUAGUUCGUCGUGAUUCUUUCUAAUCCCACACCAUGUGCCUUUACCGGAUGAUGAGAUGGGACAUUCCUUGGUAUCGCAGUAAAGUCAGAGGUCAUUCGUUAGAGGAUUUAUUAUAUUAAUUAUUGAGAGAUUAUAGAUUUUUUUUUAUCUUUAUUUUUUAUUUUUAAUUCAUUACUCAUAAUAAUCUUAUUAAAGAUAAAAAGAGAAGAGAAUGGGACUACAGUAGUGUUGUUGUGGGCGACAACUAUAGCAACAUCGAUACCACUAGGGUGAUUGUUGUAGCUUGUUGCGAUCGUAGCAUUACCGUUGCUUAGGGCAACUACAGCAAUGUCAUUGCGGUAUUUGUUGGCCACGGUCGAUGUCAACUAGACGUAAAAGACCAUGAUACUCAGCGGUUGCAUGACAAACUCGUAAGUAUUAGUGGGUGCCACAAUGACUAUGUGGUUGCUAGUUGAUACAAAAUCACGUAUGGCUGCGAUGACGAUGAGGUCGUUGAUUAGUCACAUGCGAAGAGCUAUGCACCGGUAACGAAUGACUAGUGCUCCAAGUGUGGGCAUAGUGGGAUGCGAUGACAACAUGAGAAUUUUUUUUUUUUUUAAGUAUAUUUUUAUCUUGAUAUAAGAAAAUUAUAUCUCCUAAGGGCUCUUCACUGAUUUAAUCACCUGAGGAGAAGCGCAAGUAAAAUUCUCCAGCAUCAUUAGAAUCCAUGAAGUAAUAACGAAUUACGGUCAGACCUAAACAAAAGAGGAAUCUCUGUGGCGUGCACCGGUGUGCAAAAAGUGGUGGUCUGGUCAGUGUUAGCCCGAUAGGUACGGCGGGUGUGGCGUGCACCGGCCUGUUAUCCUUCCACCGUCAAGAGCGGGAGGUUAUCGCUGCUCUGUGAAACCAGCCUGACGCGGUGUCCUCCGCUUUAGGAUCCCAGAUGGCUCGGGCCUUCGUUCGGGCCACAUAGCUCAGCUGCCUGACUUGGAACGGGCAAGCCAAGUCUAGCACGACCGCACCCAACCUAUUCGGGCUGAACACAACAUCCCACCACCUUAUUGCCCCCACUCGGGUUACAAGCCGGCGUUACCGGGCUCGGCGAUCGAGGCGCUUCCACAACUUCAUAUAGCCUGUCAGUGAAUCCUAACAAUCGGCGAUGUGGGACUAAGAGCGCUUCCCCUGCUCCCUCCUUUUUCCUUUCCGAACAUUCGUGCACCGCAUGCUUUCCAGGAGAAACCCGAAUUGCAUCUAAAGUUUCGAUCAUGGUUCCCCACCACCUAAAACCAUUCCAUCCCCUUCGAACAGACCAACAGAAGAUGCCCUGCAGACCCCUCCAGAUUGCCCCACUCCUAAUCCUGAAACCUCGAAACCCAAUGCUCUCCUGCAUGUUUCGAGCUAAAUUUCUCCUACAUCAGCUGACCGCAAUGCUGUAACUUUGGUGAUGAUGAAGAGGUGUAAGCUGAUAAACGCUAUACCAAUGCCCGAACACGUAGUCGGCCUCCUCGUUGGUGAAGAGGAUCGACUUUUAGAUUGUGAAUCUGUGUCUUUGAACAUAGAUGCGCUAGCAUGUAUAUAAACCAUUACUUCUUAAUUCGAUGACAUUAAUAAAUAUAAUUGAUACGUCAUAUUUUGGCCCCGAAGAUAUGCCAAGUCAAAAUUCAUACUAAGGCACUGCUCGACACGUCUACCAUGCCAACCCCCAACGACCGACUCACGUACAGUAAUAUAAAGACCUCUUGCCAGCAUCUGGCUAGGAGGGGAAAAAAGGUGACAAAAUCAAUUGAUCACUCUACUGACUUGUUCGUCAGAGGGGCCUCGUCGGGAAUCACCCGAUGAGGGCCAUUUUUGAAGGAAAACGCAGCCACCUCACGAAGACGAGCUACCAACCACCCGAGAAUCCCCAUCCAGUGCAUGAAGGAGAGCAGCCAAUCGGUCCAAAUCCCAACCAAUGCCAACCAGUACUCCUUCCCGAGGGCAUGACCACCUCACGAAGAUGAGCUGCCAACCACCCUAGAAAAAGAGAGACGUAGCUCGGCAUACACGACGCUCGGAUCGGCACACCAAUGAACGCUGAUCAACACCUCGUCGCAAGGGCCCGGUAGACAUUGGCAUCUAGCUCAAUCAACAGAAGACUCCCGACAUCGACCCGUAGACCAGGCUGUGCUAACUCACCAGCCACAGCACAUUUGUUCACUAACAUUUUGACGCUAGAAGGAGGGCAUGUCGCAGGAGCAACUGAUAGGGGUUCUCCCCGAGGGAGAACCACCGACCGGCCUCCCUUUUGUUGAACCAAAAAGUCAGGCCCUCCCCGCCCCCGGAGACAGGAGGAUCCUGGCUUCGACGCUAGAUCGCUACUAUUGUUUGUUCAAUGACCCGGGAUUGUCACCCCCGGGGCUCACCAUAGGGCCCUCGGUCGUGACACCCGAGGCAUUCCUUAGCCUAACCAAGCAAGUACAUGCCAUGGCGGGCAUGAUGCAGAUGCUCGCUCCAAUCAUUCCUCAGAUCGUGCGGCUAGCGACGCCCCCGACCGACCCAUCCCAACAGCGACCGAACAGGGAGCAGGUCGGGACCGGAGAAGCCCAAGAGCAAGCAACGUACCAGAGAGGUCUGCCCGAGUAGAGCAUACCAGCACCCUGCCGAAUCACACCGCUCCACUCCGGUCUUCUCGAAAACUGGCGAUUCAUGAAAAGGUUCGUCCCCUGGACUCCCGGGCAGACCAAAGGCUGCCCGGCCAACCGUGCCUCCCACAGCACAGCCUACAGUUCCGAUCAAAGUAGCUCCUCGGCCGCAACCGCCUGCGUCGUGCUCCUCGGCCCCAUGUUGCCCGAGACCACACUUGCGCGGCCUGCUCGCCCGAGUCCAGCUCCUCGACCGCAGCCGCCUACGUCGUGCUCCUCGGCCCCAUGCUGCCCGAGACCACACUCGCGCGGCUUGCCCGCCUACGUCGUGUUCCGCGGCCCCAUGCUGCCCGAGACCACACCUACGCGGCUUGCUCGCCCGAGUCUAGCUCCUCGGCCGCAGCCGCCUGCGUCGUGCUCCUCGGCCCCAUGCUGCCCGAAGACCACACCCUCGCGGCCUGCUCUCCUGAGCCCAGUAACCGCUCCUGCGCGGCCUGCCCGCAUGAGGGGCCUACCACCCCUACGGCCGAGCCCAACUUGACCUACGAGUCAUACUUCGGGGUUCCUCGGACCACUCACUACUCAGUGCCACCUCUGCACAUCCAACCCUCGUCAAUUGCCAAGCUCCACGAUUCCCACGCCCUUGGCGAUGAAUCGGUCUCCGCCCGACAGAGAUAGUUCCUUAAAACCGAAGCCAUGCCUCGGACCCCCCUUACGGCAACCGACGCAUAACUUCCUUUGGGAGGGGAGUAUGAUGAGUGUGAUAAUUAUGAUAAGACUUACGUGACAUCAGCUGACGCCCCACGUUUCUGUCGGGCUGACAGCACCUGGCAAACACGGGCCGAAACGGCAACCGAGGCCCAUUAACGACUGCUCAGGCUCUAUCCCUCAUGCCACGCCAACGGCGAUGUCAGACACCGUCAGAGGUACGAUCCUACUCCCUGCGGGCAGGCACAUUAGGUAACACUAAACGUCCCUAUAAAUACCCUCGCGUUCUAAACAAGAGGGGGGAGGGGGGGGGGACAACAGAUAAACACAAACAAACUUCCUGCGACCUUCAACUAACUUGAUCGUCGGAGGGGUCGGGUCAAGCACUCCGACCCGACCCGUGUGCAGGAACGAAGAUGAUGCGACUCUCACCGGACACACCAAGCGAGGAGCCCCUUCCCGGAGGAAACGACGACCCACCUCCACGACUGAACCGACCGAGCCAGCGACCUCAGCGGUCCCGAGGAACCCCCUAUGGAGAUCCCUGUCAUCCGGACCCGAAUCGAACCGCGUCGGCCCCGAGACCACGGCUUAAGGUUGUUUACACUAACACUUACUAUUUUUUAAUAUUUAAUUCCUUCCAACGAAAGAAAGGAACUUGAAUAACGGGAUGAUAUAAUAAAAGGCACAAUAUCAAGAAAAAUUUCUCAAGACUACAUAAAGAAAAAAAAUUCUUUGUAAAAAGAGAAAAAACUAUAUUAAUUAGCAAAAACUAAAAAAACGAAGAGCCGUCGGUAGCCUCCGAGGAAGAACAAAAAGUUGGACAGCCUACNNNNNNNNNNNNNNNNNNNNNNNNNNNNNNNNNNNNNNNNNNNNNNNNNNNNNNNNNNNNNNNNNNNNNNNNNNNNNNNNNNNNNNNNNNNNNNNNNNNNNNNNNNNNNNNNNNNNNNNNNNNNNNNNNNNNNNNNNNNNNNNNNNNNNNNNNNNNNNNNNNNNNNNNNNNNNNNNNNNNNNNNNNNNNNNNNNNNNNNNNNNNNNNNNNNNNNNNNNNNNNNNNNNNNNNNNNNNNNNNNNNNNNNNNNNNNNNNNNNNNNNNNNNNNNNNNNNNNNNNNNNNNNNNNNNNNNNNNNNNNNNNNNNNNNNNNNNNNNNNNNNNNNNNNNNNNNNNNNNNNNNNNNNNNNNNNNNNNNNNNNNNNNNNNNNNNNNNNNNNNNNNNNNNNNNNNNNNNNNNNNNNNNNNNNNNNNNNNNNNNNNNNNNNNNNNNNNNNNNNNNNNNNNNNNNNNNNNNNNNNNNNNNNNNNNNNNNNNNNNNNNNNNNNNNNNNNNNNNNNNNNNNNNNNNNNNNNNNNNNNNNNNNNNNNNNNNNNNNNNNNNNNNNNNNNNNNNNNNNNNNNNNNNNNNNNNNNNNNNNNNNNNNNNNNGCAAUGACAAAAUCAACGAUGCUAAUGAUCAUGUUAGUGCGAUGGGUUCACUCUGUCAUUUGCCUACGCAUACAAUAUAUACAUUAGAAAACACAUAUAUAUUGAAAUUGCAUAGUUCGUCGUGAUCCUUUCUAAUCCCACACCAUGGGCUUUUAGCGGAUGAUGAGAUGGGACAUACCUCGGUAUCUCAGUCAAGUCAUAGCUCAUUCGUUAGAGGAUUUAUUAUAAUAAUUAUUGAGAGAUUAUAGAUUUUCUUUUAUCUUGUUUUCAUUUUUAAUUCAUCACUCGUAGUAAUCUUAUGAAAGAUAAAAAGAAAAGAGAAUGAGAUUAGUAGUGUUGUUGUGGGCGACUACUAUAGCAACAUCGCUACCACUUGGAUGAUUGUUGUAGCUUGUUGCGAUUGUAGCAUUACCGUUGCUUAGGGCAACUAUAGCAAUGUCGUUGCGGCAUUUGUUGGCCACGGUCGAUGUCAACUAUACGUAAAAGACCAUGAUACUCAGUGGUUGCAUGACAAACUCGUAAGCACUAGUGGGUGCCACGAUGACUAUGUGGUUGCUAGUUGGUACAAAAUCACGUGUGGCUACGAUGACGAUGAGGUCGUUGAUAAGUCGCAUGCGAAGAGCUAUGCAACCACGAGCGACGAAUGACCAGUGCACCAUCAACGAGGCAUCCAAGUAUGGGCAUAGUGGGAUGCGAUGACAACAUGAGAAUUUGAUUUUUUUUUUAAGCAUAUUCAACGACAUUUGUUGGUCACGGUCGAUAUCAACUAGACGUAAAAGAUCAUGAUACUCAGCGGAUGCAUGACAAACUCGUAAGCAUUAGUGGGUGUCACGAUGACUAUGUGGUUGCUAGUUGGUACAAAAUCACGUGUGGCUACGAUGAUGAUGAGGUCGUUGAUAAGUCGCAUGCGAAGAGCUAUGCAACCACGAGGGACGCAAGCGACGAAUGACCAGUGCACCAUCAACGAGGCAUCCAAGUGUGGGCAUAGUGGGAUGCGAUGAUAAUUUGAUUUUCUUUAAAGCAUAUUUUUAUGCCUCGAACGCAUCUUGAUAUAAGAAAAUUAUAUCUCCUAAGGGCUCUUCACUGAUUUAAUCACGUGAGGAGAAGCGCAAGUAAAAUUCUCCAGCAUCAUUAGAAUUCAUGAAGUGAUAUAUAAUACGAAUUACGGCCAGACCUAAACAAAAGAGGAAUCUCUCGAGUGUGGCGUGCACCGGUGUGCAAAAAGUGGUGGUUUGGUCAGUGUUAGCCCGAUAGGUACGGCGAGUGUGGCGUGCACCGGCCUGUUAUCCUUCCACCGUCAAGAGCGGGAGGUUAUCGCUGCUCUGUGAAACCAGCCUGACGCGGUGUCCUCCGCUUUAGGAUCCCAGAUGGCUCGGGCCUUCGUUCGGGCCACAUAGCUCAGCUGCCUGACUUGGAACGGGCAAGCCAAGUCUAGCACGACCGCACCCAACCUAUUCGGGCUGAACACAACAUCCCACCACCUUAUUGCCCCCACUCGGGUUACAAGCCGGCGUUACCGGGCUCGGCGA